Molecule: long non-coding RNA, 5257 nt
Filed under: Salvia miltiorrhiza (redroot sage)
Lineage: Eukaryota; Viridiplantae; Streptophyta; Magnoliopsida; Lamiales; Lamiaceae
Description: long non-coding RNA (SMIL_LNC005895)
Source: RNAcentral
CUGCCGUUCCCAUCUGCUGUCUCGCCCUCUCGCCGUCAACCGUCUAGGGCUCUAUAUGUCGCUCUCCAGUCAGGUAGGUAAGCCCUCAAACCUAAAACUACAAACUGUUAUUUCUUUAUAUGAGACAUGGGCACGUUGAUUUCUUUACAGAGCUUCAUGUUGCUCAGCAAGAACCACAAAAUGGAUUUUCUUCAGUUGACAAAAGGGAUAAGAACGAUUUCACAUAAAGUAAAAUGGCAGCUGAAUGAUUUCUAAAGGUGACUGUCCCAGCAUCUAAUCUUCUUUUGUAUCAGUUAUGUAGAGGGGAAGAAAGAAUUGGAUCCAUUAAAUGUAGUAGUGAAUAAAUUCCUGAGAAUCUAACAAAUCAGAGAAAGCAUGUUUCUGUGUUUGCAGUGAUAAAAAGAUGCGAGAGCUUAUGCAUACAAUGCAAAACCAUCUGAGAUGUCCUUUGUCUAAGCAUGCAAAGAAGGCAUUACACAGCUUCCUGCUUUAGCACCUUCAUGUGGUUUAAUUCGCAAAAUUUACUGGAGAUUCAAAGAGCAGUUGUCUGCCUAAAUUGAUAUUCAACUAAAAGUCAAUAUUGUUUUCAUUAAAAUAAAUGUUAAAGAAAAAAAGAAGGUAAAUUUACUUUUCGACCAUCUGUGAAUCUACAUUAUUAACAUAACAUCUGUGAAUCUCCAUUAUUAACAUAUUCUAGAAUAAAUUAAUACAUCAAACAUAUUACUUGAUAAAAUAUAAUGAUAAAGUAAUUAUUUUGCUGCCAUAUCAAUAUGUUUAUAUUUAUUUGAUUAGAGUUAUACUUAUAAUUAUUAUUAACAUUCCUUUUUAUUGUUAUUUAUUUAUUAUUGUCGUGUUACAAAAUAAAUAUUUAUUUACAGAAUUUUAAAAUUUAUAUACACUAAUUAUGAGCAUGGAAGUUACAUUGCGCAAAACAAUCUCAUUUUCAGGUAUUUUCUAUAGCAUGAGCGCACAAGCUUCUAAGUAUUGUGAAUACAUUAAGCUUAUAUAAUGGUAUUAUAUAAAAGAGAUGAGACAGUUAGUUGCAAGUAAAAGAGAUGUAUGUUUGAGAGAAAGAAGGGCAGUUUGAUCAGUUGCAAGGCUCAGAGGUUGUUUGGCUUUGGCUUCAAAAGAAAGCAUUUGGAAGGUUAUGGUGAUUAGGAAUGCAUACUGCAAAAUGCAAUAAAGCUUUAUCUCCAUGGCUGCAAAUUGUGAUUGUAUUAUGAUAAUGAAGUCGCUAAUAACUGCAUCCAAUAAUCAUCAUAUAUAUAUAUAUAUACACAAAUAUUACAAGAAUCUUACACAAAAAAUGUGACAAAAAAUUUGGGAGACCAAAAAUAGUAAAACAAAAUAAAUACCAUCUUUCUUUCUUUCUUUUUUUUCUUCAUUUUUUUGUUUGGUAAAUGAGAUGUUACAGUUUGUUCAUUCAGAUGCUGAUAGCUCAGAUCAUGGCUAUCAUCUCUACUAGAUUUUGACACACAAAUUUGCUUGAUUUAGAUUGUGUAUAUAACACCAAGGAAGUAGUGUUGGUUAAAGGCCUAAUGUCUAGAUGUGUAGAUACAGUUUUUUUGCCAACAAUUUGAAAUAAAAUCAGCAAUGAAAACUAGCAAAUCUGGUUUCUUGAAGGAUGAAUUCAGACAUCUUGCUUAAGUUGUGUAACUUACUUCUAAUUUCUAAAGAUCAAUUCAGAUUGAUUAUUUUAUUUUUAGUGUACACAAUUUGGUUUUCAACUUUCAAAUAACAGUAAUUUUAUAAUGAAAGUUGAAUAUAUAAUUACUAAGGGACAUAAAACUGCAUAUAUUAUAUAGUAGUUCAAACAUAAAUUAAAUGAGAAUUAACAAACAUACCAGAAUCCUACACAAAAAAUGUGACAAAAAAUUUGGGACACCAAACAUAGUAAUUCAAAAUACCAUCUUUCUUUCUAAUUCUGAUGUUGAUGGCUCAGAUCUUGGCUAUCAUCUCUACUAGAUUUUGACACACAAAUUUGCUUGAUUUAGAUUGUGUGUACAACACCAAGGAAGUAGUGUUGGUUGAAGGCCUAAUGUCUAAAUGUGUAGAUACAGUUUCUUUUGCCAACAAUUUGAAAUAGAAUCAACAAUGGAAACUAGCAAAUCUUGUUUCUUGAAGGAUGCAUUCAGACAUCCGGCUUAGGUUGCGCGGCGUUCGAGCUCGUUUCUUGGCCGGAAAACCACUGAAUGGUUCUUCUAGCUAUGGGUAGCCACAGCCUUCUAACCUUUUCAUCCUUGUCUGAGUUGAGUGAAGUUGAGAAUCCACUGAUCCUGCUGUUGCUCGAGUUCGUAUCCGUGAAUCUUGACACGUUUGUGAUCUCAGACAUCGAUCUUUUCUGUGCCGGAUCAGCCGAUCUAGACAGCAUGCUUGAAGUUUCAGCAGCAGCAAUCUUGGACUUAAACAGCCUCUUCCUCUCCAAAUCCUCCUUGAUCUUCAAGAUUUGCUCUCUUGCUGCAGCCUCGUCGUUGAACCUCCCGCUCGUGGUGGGGAGGUUCAGCAACGAGGCGUUGAGGGACAUGAGAUCCGAGGAGUUGACAUCGCUCCACCUGCUGUUGUGUAUGACAUCUGAUACAAUGAUCCUGUGCUUCACAUUGUGGAGAAUCCGUGCCCCGUUGCUGUGGUUCUUAAAAUUGAGAUUGAGGUGAAUUUGCUGGGAUACUAACUGCUGUGAGUAGUAAUCUUGAUGAAUCUUUGAUCAUUUUUGAGGUUAUGGGAUGUCUCGAACUUGAAUCUUUAUGUUGUUUUUAGAUGGUUAAAUAUUAGUAAUAAAAUUGGGAUCGAGGUGAAAUGGUUGAGUGAAAACUAACUGAUGUGAGUAAUCUUGGAAUCUUUAUCAUUAUUUUGUGGUUAUGGGUGCUUCUCAAACUUGAAUCUUUUUGUUGUUUUUAGAUAGUUAUAUUAUACAUCUGCUUAAAAUUGGGAUAGAGGUGAGUUGCUUGAUUAAAACUAAUUGCUGUCAGUAAAUCUUGAUUGAAUCUUGUAUCAUUUGAGGUUAUGGGAUGUCUCAAAAUUGAAUCGUUUCUCAUUUCAGAUGGUUGAUUAUACCUGCUCAAAAUUGGGAUUGAGGUGAAUUGCUUGAAUGGAAAGGGAUACACAGCUCUAGAUGUGGUUGAAUCCGAUGCAAGCAACUCAGGUGCUCUGCUCAUUGUGCCUGCAUUGCUCGAAGCAGGAGCCAAGAGGUGCGACCAGCUCUCUCCUGGCCUAGCAGACAUCCCACAUUUAGCCGAGCCGGGUUCCAGAAGGUUCGGUGAGGCUAGCCGUAUGCGGUCUCCGCUGCCGCCGUGGCCCAACGCCGGCCGAACCCCCCGCCACCGCGGCUGCAAGAACCGCCACCGGGCCAGCAAGCUCGAGCUGCAGAACGAGGGGCUGAGGAACGCGAGGAAGACCGUGACCAUCGUUGCCGUGCUGAUUGCAACGGUGACGUUUGCAGCCGGGAUCAACCCGCCCGGCGGGUUCAGCCAGGAGACCGGCAAGGCCCUGAGGGGGGACCGGGCCGCGUUCAAGGCGUUCAUGGUGUGCAACAUCGCCGCGCUGUUCCUGUCCGUCGGGGUCGUGAACGUGCUCGUGAGCAUCAUCCCGAUCACGAGGCGGACGAUGAUGAGGCUCAUGAGCGCGACGCACAAGGUGAUGUGGCUGUCGACGCUGUUCAUGACCGCGGCCUACAUAGCCGCCGUGUGGACCAUCAUGCCCGAGGACCGGGGGGCGCGCUGGGUGUCCGUGGAGCUCGUGGUGUUCGGGGGCGGGUGCUCGGCCGUGGUCUUCUCCGGGCUCGCGUGGCUGCUGGUGAGGCAUUGGCGCAACAAGUAUCUGUGGAGGAAGGCCAAGAUCAAGAGGAUCAAGGAGGAGAGCCCCCACAGCAGUGUUAGCCGUGUUGAUGAGCUGAAGAUCAUGAGGAGGAGCCAUGAUAAUAGUAGUACUAAUUCGGAUGUUGAUAGCUCGGAUCAUGGAUAUCACCUCUACUAGAUUUUGACACACAAAUUUGCUUGAUUUAGAUUGAGAUAACACGAAGAAAGUAGCGUUGGUUGUAAAUGAACAGAUCUACUCACUAGUUAUUUGAGACCCGGCUCGAAAAAAGGCACGUUCGGAGCUCGAUUCGAUAGUAAACGAGCCGAGCUCGAGUCUGACAACACUCGGCUGGUUGAGCUCGCGAACUAGUUCGGGUUUGAUUGUUCGCCGAUAUGCUCGCGAGCCUGUUCACGUAUCGUUAGUGCACGAACCUUAAACUCGUCGAGCUCGAGCUCAAGUAACAUAUUAGUUAAGAAGCUUUUCCUAAAUUUUUAAUGAGUUCGAGCUCGAACAUCAUAUAUAUGAUCAUGUAACAAGUUGAGCUCAAGCUCAAGCUCGAAUUCGACAUUAUCGAGUAUCACAUGAGCCGAGCUCGAGCUCGAUCAACAAGAUAUUCGCUCGAUCAACAAGAUAAAAGCUCAAAUUGAACUCGAACCUAACUCGAACACUCAAAUAUUUAAAUCAGACGAGCUCGAACUUGCUAGUAUACGUACGGCUCGACUCGGCUCAUUUACACUAUUGGUUGUGCCAACAAUUUGAAAUAAAAUCAAGAAUGAAAACUAGCAAAUCUGGUUUCUUGAAGGAUGAAUUCAGACAUCUAGCUUAGGUUGUGUAGCAUUUAGUUCUAACGAUCAAUUCAGAUUGAUUAUUUUAUUUUAUUUUUAGUGUACACAAUUUGGUGUUCAACUUUCAAAUAACAGUAAUUAUACUCCCUCCGUCCCAUAAGCUUAGGCUGAUUGGGAUUUUCACAAAGAUUAAGAAAAAUCAUUGGAAAUGAAAAUAUAUGAGUAAAUUUCCUAAUAUGCCCAUAUUUCUUAUUUAAUGAUGUAUUAAAGUGGGAGUAAAUUGAAGAAUUAAAUAGGGAUAUAAUAGUAAAUGAGUAAAAAAAUAUUACUUUUUAUGGAAACAAGCCUAUAUAAAUGGGACAUUCAAAAAAGGAAAACAAGCCUAAGCUUAUGGGACGGAGGGAGUAUAAUGAAAGUUGAAUAUAUAAUUACUAAGGAACAUAGAACUGCAUAUAUACUAAUGAAAGUGGAAUAUUAUUUUUAGUGUGUACACAAUGUGUAGACACAGUUUUUUUUGCCAACAAUUUGAAAUAUAAUCAGCAAUGGAAACUAGCAUCUUGUUUGUUGAAGGAUGCAUUCAGACAUCCGGCUUAGGUUGCGCGGCGUUCGAGCUCGUUUCUUGGCCGGAAAACCACUGAAUGGUUCUUCUAGCUAUAGAUAGCCACAGCCUUCUAACCUUU